Molecule: ribosomal RNA, 273 nt
Filed under: uncultured bacterium
Lineage: Bacteria
Description: partial 16S ribosomal RNA
Rfam family: Bacterial small subunit ribosomal RNA
Source: RNAcentral
GCGAGGGUGCUAAUCCUAAAAAGUCUUUCGUAGUCCGGAUUGGAGUCUGCACUCGACUCCAUGAAGUCGGAAUCGCUAGUAAUCGCGGAUCAGCAUGCCGCGGUGAAUACGUUCUCGGGUCUUGUACACACCGCCCGUCACACCAUGGAAGUGGAUUGCACCAGAAGUAGAUAGUCUAACCUUAGGGAGGGCGUUUACCACGGUGUGCUUCAUGACUGGGGUGAAGUCGUAACAAGGUAGCCGUAGGGGAACCUGUGGCUGGAUCACCUCCUU